Molecule: ribosomal RNA, 1352 nt
Filed under: uncultured bacterium
Lineage: Bacteria
Description: bacterial SSU rRNA
Rfam family: Bacterial small subunit ribosomal RNA
Source: RNAcentral
GGCUCAGGACGAACGCCGGCGGCAUGCCUAAUACAUGCAAGUCGAACGCUGAAGCACUCUGCUUGCAGAGUGCGGAUGAGUGGCGAACGGGUGAGUAACACGUGGGAAAUCUGCCCAGGAGUGGGGGAUAACAUUCGGAAACGGAUGCUAAUACCGCAUAUCUUUUUGAACCGCAUGGUUCUUAAACGAAAGACGGCUUCGGCUGUCGCUCUUAGAUGAUCCCGCGGCGUAUUAGUUAGUUGGUGGGGUAAAGGCCUACCAAGACCAUGAUACGUAGCCGACCUGAGAGGGUGAUCGGCCACACUGGGACUGAGACACGGCCCAGACUCCUACGGGAGGCAGCAGUAGGGAAUCUUCCACAAUGGGUGAAAACCUGAUGGAGCAAUGCCGCGUGAAUGAAGAAGGUCUUCGGAUCGUAAAGUUCUGUUAUUAGAGAAGAACAAGUCAAGGAGUAACUGUCUUGACUUUGACGGUACCUAACCAGAAAGUCACGGCUAACUACGUGCCAGCAGCCGCGGUAAUACGUAGGUGACAAGCGUUGUCCGGAAUUAUUGGGCGUAAAGGGAGCGCAGGCGGUUGGAAUAGUCCGAUGUGAAAGCCCCCGGCUUUAACCGUGGAAGGUCAUUGGAAACUGUCCAACUUGAAUACAGAAGAGGUAAGUGGAAUUCCAAGUGUAGCGGUGAAAUGCGUAGAUAUUUGGAGGAACACCAGUGGCGAAGGCGACUUACUGGUCUGUAAUUGACGCUGAGGCUCGAAAGCGUGGGUAGCAAACAGGAUUAGAUACCCUGGUAGUCCACGCCGUAAACGAUGAGUGCUAAAGUGUUAGGGGGUGUCCGCCCCCCAGUGCUGGAGUUAAAGCAUUAAGCACUCCGCCUGGGGAGUACGGCCGCAAGGCUGAAACUCAAAGGAAUUGACGGGGACCCGCACAAGCGGUGGAACAUGCGGUUUAAUUCGAUGAUACGCGAGGAACCUUACCUGGGCUCGAACGCAUUCGGAAGCGCACGGAAACGUGCGCGCCAGCGAUGGCCGUUUGCGAGGUGCUGCAUGGUUGUCGUCAGCUCGUGCCGUGAGGUGUCGGGUUAAGUCCCACAACGAGCGCAACCCCUACUGCUAGUUGCCAGCGCGUAAUGGCGGGGACUCUAGCGGAACUGCCGGCGUAAGCCGUGAGGAAGGUGGGGAGGACGUCAAAUCAGCACGGCCCUUAUGUCCAGGGCUACACACGUGUUACAAUGGCCGGUACAGAGGGCAGCCACCCCGCGAGGGGGCGGGAAUCCCCAAAGCCGGUCUCAGUUCGGAUCGGAGUCUGCAACCCGACUCCGUGAAGCUGGAUUCGCUAGUAAUCGCGCAUCAGC